CCUACGGGGGGCAGCAGUGAGGAAUAUUGGUCAAUGGCCGAGAGGCUGAACCAGCCAAGUCGCGUGAGGGAUGACGGCCCUACGGGUUGUAAACCUCUUUUGUCGGGGAGCAAAGAGAGUCACGUGUGGCUCAUUGAGAGUACCCGAAGAAAAAGCAUCGGCUAACUCCGUGCCAGCAGCCGCGUUAAUACGGAGGAUGCGAGCGUUAUCCGGAUUUAUUGGGUUUAAAGGGUGCGCAGGCGGAGGUGCAAGUCAGUGGUCAAAUUGCGGGGCUCAACCCCGUACUGCCGUUGAAACUGCAGCCCUUGAGUGCGCGAGAAGUAGGCGGAAUGCGUGGUGUAGCGGUGAAAUGCAUAGAUAUCACGCAGAACUCCGAUUGCGAAGGCAGCAUACCGGCGCGCAACUGACGCUCAUGCACGAAAGCGUGGGUAUCGAACAGGAUUAGAUACCCUUGUAGUC
Molecule: ribosomal RNA, 459 nt
Filed under: uncultured bacterium
Lineage: Bacteria
Description: partial 16S ribosomal RNA
Rfam family: Bacterial small subunit ribosomal RNA
Source: RNAcentral